RNAcentral lists this ribosomal RNA (459 nucleotides) under uncultured bacterium. Its description in RNAcentral is "partial 16S ribosomal RNA". It matches the Rfam family "Bacterial small subunit ribosomal RNA", at positions 338 to 795 of the family's 1533-position model. The record is from RNAcentral.
CCUACGGGGGGCAGCAGUGAGGAAUAUUGGUCAAUGGCCGGAAGGCUGAACCAGCCAAGCCGCGUGAAGGACGAAGGUGCCAAGCAUUGUAAACUUCUUUUGUCAAGGGACAAAAUCAGGCUCGAGAGCCUGACCGAGGGUACUUUAAGAAAAAGCAUCGGCUAACUCCGUGCCAGCAGCCGCGGUAAUCCGGAGGAUCCGAGCGUUAUCCGGAUUUAUUGGGUUUAAGGGGUGCGUAGGCGGGCUGUUAAGUCAGCGGGAAAAGCCCGGGGCUCAACCCCGGAGAGCAGUUGAAACUGGCUGUCUUGAGAAGUCGAGAGGUAGGCGGAAUUCGCAGUGUAGCGGUGAAAUGCUUAGAUAUUGCGAAGAACUCCGAUUGCGAAGGCAGCAUACCGGCGGCGAUCUGACGCUGAGGCACGAAAGCGUGGGUAUCGAACAGGAUUAGAUACCCGUGUAGUC